RNAcentral lists this long non-coding RNA (257 nucleotides) under Gossypium barbadense (sea-island cotton). RNAcentral describes it as "long non-coding RNA (GBAR_LNC014834)". The record is from RNAcentral. Lineage: Eukaryota; Viridiplantae; Streptophyta; Magnoliopsida; Malvales; Malvaceae.
GGUAGGUAUGGGAAAUGUUCAAAGUGAUUAUUCGGUCAAUAUUGGGAGGAGGUAUUAACUAUGCAAUACAACUGCAACAUUUUUAUGAUGGGUUGGAUGGAUACAGUAAACGACAUUUUGAUAUCAUAGCCAAAGGAGAUAUUUGGUCAAAAACGGGAAGAAAAUAUUCGAUAUAUUGGAGAAAGUUAGUGGUAACGAGCUUACAAAGGGUAUGAGCAAGGAGACAGAAAAUGCUAAAAUAAUAGAAUGUACACCCC